UUGCAAAGUUAUACUGUUGGGGCGCAACAGAGUAGUCUAUUGUUGUUCCGGUUUUGGUUAUUGUUAAGGUUGACAUCGAUUCGUUUCAAAUUUACACUCUCGAGGCAUAAUAGAACAAUAUAAUUAGGUUUUACUCUUUGUUCGAUAGAAUGAGAAAAAGUACUCAUUGCAAAGUUAUACUGUUAGGGCGCAACCGAAUAGUCUAAUGUUGUUCCGGUUUUGGUUCUUGUGAACGCUGACAUCAAUUGGUUCGAAAUUACAACUCUCGGGGCAUAAUUGAACAAUAUAAAUUAGGUUUUACUCUUUGUUCGAUAGAAUGAGAAAAAGAACUCGUCGCAAAGUUAUACUGCUAGGGGGCAACUGAGUAGUCUAAUAUUGUUCCGGUUUUGGUUCUUGUGAACGUUGACAUCGAUUCGUUCCAAAUUUACACUCUCGGGGCAUAAUAGAACAAUACAAUUAAGUUUUACUCUUUGUUCGAUCGAAUGAGAAAAAGUACUCGUUGCAAAUUUAUAAUAUUAGGGCGCAGCUGAGUAGUCUAAUGUUGUUCCGGUUUUGGUUCUUGUGAAGGUUGACAUCGAUUCGUUCCAAAUUUACACUCUUGGGGCAUAAUAGAACAAUAUAAUUAGCUUUUACACUUUGUUCGAUCGAAUGGGAAAAAAGUACUCGUUACAAAGUUAUACUGUUAGGGCGCAACUGAGUAGUCUAUUGUUGUUCCAGCUUUGGUUCUUAUGAAGGUUGACAUCGAUUCAUUCCAAAUUUACACUCUCGCGGCAUAAUAGAACAAUAUAAUUAGCUUUUACACUUUGUUCGAUUGAAUGAGAAAAAGUACUAGUUGCAAAGUUAUAUUGUUGGGGUACAACAGAGUAGUCUAUUGUUGUUCCGGUUUUGGUUCUAGUGAAAGUUGACAUCGAUUCGUUCCAAAUUUACACUCUCGGGGCAUAAUGAAUAAAAUAAUUAGCUUUUACACUUUGUUCGAUUGAAUGAGAAAAAGUACUAGUUGCAAAGUUAUACUGUUGGGGCGCAACAGAGUAGUCUACUGUUGUUCCGGUUUUGGUUCUUGUUAAGGUUGACAUCGAUUCAUUCCAAAUUUACACUCUCGGGGCAUAAUAGGACAAUAUAAUUAGGUUUUACUCUUUGUUCGAUAGAAUGAGAAAAAGUACUCAUUGCAAAGUUCUACUGUUAGGGCGCAACUGAAUAGCGUUAUGUUGUUACGGUUUUGGUUCUUGUGAACGUUGACAUCGAUUCGUUCGAAAUUACAACUCUCGCGGCAUAAUUGAACAAUAUAAUUAGGUUUUACACUUUGUUCAAUAGAAUGAGAAAAAGUACUCGUCGCAAAGUUAUACUGUUGGGGCGCAACUAAGUAGUCUAAUGUUGUUCCGGUUUUGGUUCUUGUGAACGUUGACAUCGAUUCGUUCCAAAUUUACACUCUCGGGGCAAAAUAGGACAAUAUAAUUAAGUUUUACGCUUUGUUCGAUCGAAUGAGAAAAUGUACGCGUUGCAAAUUUAUACUGUUAGGGCGCAGCUGGGUAGUCUAAUGUUGUUCCGGUUUCGGUUCAUGUGAAGGUUGACAUCGAUUCGUUCCAAAUGUACACUCUUGGGGCAUAAUAGAACAAUAUAAUUAGCUUUUACACUUUGUUCAAUCGAAUGGAAAAAAAUACUCGUUGCAAAGUUAUACUGUUAGGGCGCAGCUUAGUAGUCUAAUGUUGUUCCGGUUUUGGUUCUUGUGAAGGUUGACAUCGAUUCGUUCUAAAUUUACACUCGCGGGGCAUAAUAGAACAAUAUAAUUAGCUUUUACACUUUGUUCGGUCGAAUGGGAAAAAGUACUCGUUGCAAAGUUAUACUGUUAGGGCGGAACUGAGUAGACUAUUGUUGUUCCGGUUUUGGUUCUUGUGAAGGUUGACAUCGAUUCGUUCCAAAUUUACACUCUUGGGGCAUAAUAGAACAAUAUAAUUAGUUUUUACACUUUGUUCGAUUGAUUAAGAAAAAGUACUAGUUGCAAAGUUAUACUGUUGGGGCGCAACAGAGUAGUCUAUUGUUGUUCCGGUUUUGAUUCUUGCUAAGGUUGACAUCGAUUCGUUCCAAAUUUACACUCUCGGGGCAUAAUAGAACAAUAUAAUUUGGUUUUACUCUUUGUUCGAUAGAAUAAGAAAAAGUAGUCAUUGCAAUGUUAUACUGUUAGGGCGCCACUGAAUAGUCUAAUAUUGUUCCGGUUUUGGUUCUUGUGAACGUUGACAUCGAUUCGUUCGAAAUUACAACUCUCGGGGCAUAAUUGAACAAUAUAAUUAGGUUUUACUCUUUGUUCGAUAGAAUGAGAAAAAGUACUCGUCGCAAAGUUAUACUGCUAGGGCGCAACUGAGUAGUCUAAUGUUGUUCCGAUUUUGGUUCUUGUGAACGUUGACAUCGAUUCGUUCCAAAUUUACACUCUCGGGGCACAAUUGAACAAUAUAAUUAGGUUUUACUCUUUGUUCGAUAAAAAGAGAAAAAGUACUCGUUGCAAAGUUAUACUGUUAGGGCGCAACAGAGUAGUCUAAUGUUGUUCCGGUUUUCGUUCUUGUGAACGGUGACAUCGAUUCGUUCCAAAUUUACACUCUCGGGNCUGGGAACUUGUUGUACACAAUCUCGUCGUUGUGCCUUGGGCGGACAGGGGAGGUACUGUCCGUACGGCGGUCCGCCGCCGUGCCCGAACCGAACCAAAUUGGUAUCGGCCUCGGGGCGGGGGCGUGACAGAAAAAUUACUAGUUGCAAAGUUAUACUGUUGGGGCGCAACAGAGUAGUCUAUUGUUGUUCCGGUUUUGGUUAUUGUUAAGGUUGACAUCGAUUCGUUUCAAAUUUACACUCUCGAGGCAUAAUAGAACAAUAUAAUUAGGUUUUACUCUUUGUUCGAUAGAAUGAGAAAAAGUACUCAUUGCAAAGUUAUACUGUUAGGGCGCAACCGAAUAGUCUAAUGUUGUUCCGGUUUUGGUUCUUGUGAACGCUGACAUCAAUUGGUUCGAAAUUACAACUCUCGGGGCAUAAUUGAACAAUAUAAAUUAGGUUUUACUCUUUGUUCGAUAGAAUGAGAAAAAGAACUCGUCGCAAAGUUAUACUGCUAGGGGGCAACUGAGUAGUCUAAUAUUGUUCCGGUUUUGGUUCUUGUGAACGUUGACAUCGAUUCGUUCCAAAUUUACACUCUCGGGGCAUAAUAGAACAAUACAAUUAAGUUUUACUCUUUGUUCGAUCGAAUGAGAAAAAGUACUCGUUGCAAAUUUAUAAUAUUAGGGCGCAGCUGAGUAGUCUAAUGUUGUUCCGGUUUUGGUUCUUGUGAAGGUUGACAUCGAUUCGUUCCAAAUUUACACUCUUGGGGCAUAAUAGAACAAUAUAAUUAGCUUUUACACUUUGUUCGAUCGAAUGGGAAAAAAGUACUCGUUACAAAGUUAUACUGUUAGGGCGCAACUGAGUAGUCUAUUGUUAUUCCAGUUUUGGUUCUUGUGAAGGUUGACAUCGAUUCGUUCCAAAUUUACACUCUCGGGGCAUAAUAGAACAAUAAAAUUAGCUUUUACACUUUGUUCGAUUGAAUAAGAAAAAGUACUAGUUGCAAAGUUAUAUUGUUGGGGUGCAACAGAGUAGUCUAUUGUUUUUCCGAUUUUGGUUCUGGUGAAGGUUGAUAUCGAUUCGUUCCAAAUUUACACUCUCGGGGCAUAAUGAAUAAAAUAAAUAGCUUUUACACUUUGUUCGAUUGAAUGAGAAAAAGUACUAGUUGCAAAGUUAUACUGUUGGGGCGCAACAGAGUAGUUUACUGUUGUUCCGAUUUUGGUUCUUGUUAAGGUUGACAUCGAUUCAUUCCAAAUUUACACUCUCGGGGCAUAAUAGAACAAUACAAUUAAGUUUUACUCUUUGUUCGAUCGAAUGAGAAAAAGUACUCGUUGCAAAAUUAUGCUGUUAGGGCGCAACUGAGUAGUCUAGUGUUGUUCCGAUUUUGGUUCUUGUGAAGAUUGACAUCGAUUCGUUCCAAAUUUACACUCUCGGGGCAUAAUAGAACAAUAUAAUUAGCUUUUACACUUUGUUCGAUUGAAUGAGAAAAAGUACUAGUUGCAAAGUUAUACUGUUGGGGCGCAACAGAGUAGUCUAUUGUUGUUCCGGUUUUGGUUCUUGUUAAGGUUGACAUCGAUUCGUUCCAAAUUUACACUCUCGGGGCAUAAUAGAACAAUAUAAUUAGGUUUUACUCUUUGUUCGAUCGAAUGAGAAAAAGUACUCGUUGCAAAGUUAUACUGUUAGGGCGCAACUGAGUAGUCUAAUGUUGUUCCGGUUUUGGUUCUUGUGAACGUUGACAUCGAUUCGUUCGAAUUUACACUCUCGCGGCAUAAUAGAACAAUAUAAUUAGGUUUUACACUUUGUUCGAUAGAAUGAGAAAAAGUACUCGUUGCAAAGUUAUACUGUUAGGGCGCAACUGAGUAGUCUAAUGUUGUUCCGGUUUUGGUUCUUGUGAACGUUGACAUCGAUUCGUUCCAAAUUUACACUCUCGGGGCAUAAUAGAACAAUAUAAUUAGGUUUUACGCUUUGUUCGAUUGAAUGAGAAAAAGUACUCGUUGCAAAGUUAUACUGUUAGGGCGCAACUGAGUAGUCUAAUGUUGUUCCGGUUUUGGUUCUUGUGAACGUUGACAUCGAUUCGUUCCAAAUUUACACUCUCGGGGCAUAAUAGAACAAUAUAAUUAGNNNNNNNNNNNNNNNNNNNNNNNNNAGAUCGAUUCGUUCCAAAUUUACACUCUCGGGGCAUAAUAGGAAGUUUUUACUUCUUGUUCGAUAGAAUAAGAAAAAGUACUCAUCGCAAAGUUAUACUGUUAUGGCGCAACUGAGUAGUCUAAUGUUGUUCCGGUUUUGGUUCUUGUCAACGUUGACAUCGAUUCGUUCUAAAUUUACACUCUCGACGCUUGAACAAUAUAAUUAGGUUUUACUCUUUAUUCGAUUGAAUGAGAAAAAGGACUAGUUGCAAUGUUAUACUGUUAGGGCUCAACUGAGUAGUCUAACGUUCUUCCGGUUUUGGUUCUUGUGAACGCUGACAUUGAUUCGUUCCGAAUUUACACCCUUGGGGCAUAAAAGAAAGCUUUUACUCCUUGUUCGAUGAUUGAGAAAAAGUACUCAUUGCAAAGUUAUACUGUUAUGGCGCAAUAGAGUAGUCUAAUGUUGUUCCGGUUUUGGUUCUUGUGAACAUUGACGUCAAUUAGUUCCAAAUUUACACUCUCGGGGCAUAAUAGAACAAUAUUAUUAUGUUUUACGCUUUAUUCGAUUGAACGAGAAAAAGUACUCGUCGCAAAGUUAUUCUAUUAGGCGCAACUGAGUAGUCUAAUGUAGUUCCGGUUAUGGUACUUGUGAACGUUGACAUCGAUUCGUUCCAAAUUUACACUCUCGGGGCAUAAUAGAAAGCUUUUACUCCUUGUUCAAUAGAAUUAGAAAAAGUACUCGUUGCAAAGUUAAACUGUUAAGGCACACAGAGUAGUCUAUUGUUGUUCCGAUUUUGGUUCUUGUCAACGUUGACAUCGAUUCGUUCCAAAUUUACACUCUUGGGGUAUAAUAGAACAAUAUAAUUAGGUUUUACUCUUUAGUCGAUUGAAUGAGAAAAAGUACUAGUUGCAAUGUAAUACUAUCAGGGCUCAACUGAGUAGUCUAACGUUGUUUCUGUUUUGGUUCUUGUGAACGUUGACAUCGAUUCGUUCAAAAUUUACACUCUCGGGGAAUAAUAAAAAGCUUUUACUCCUUACUCGAAACAAUGAGAAAAAGUACACGUUGCAAAGUUAUGCUAUUAUGGCGCAACAGAGUAGCCUAAUGUAGUUCCGGUUUUGGUUCUUGUCAACGUUGACAUCGAUUCGUUCCAAAUAUACACUCUCGGGGCAUAAUAGAACAAUAUCGUUUGGUUUUACUCUUUAUUCGAUUGAAUGAGAGAAAGUACUCGUUGCAAAGUUAUACUGUUAUGGCAAAACUGAGUAGUCAAAUUUAGUUCCUGUUUUGGUUCUUGUGAACUUUGACUUCGAUUCGUUCCAAAUUUAUACUCUCGAGGCAUAAUAGAACAAUAUUAUUAGUUUUGCUAUUUGUUCGAUUGAAUGAGAACAAGUUCUAGUUGCAAAGUUAUACUGUCAAGGCUCAACUGAGUAGUCAAACGUUGUUCCGGUUUUGGUUUUUGUGAACGUCAACAUCGUUACGUUGCAAAUUUACACUCUCGGGGCAUAAUAGAAAGCUUUUACACCUUGUUCGAUAGAAAGAGAAAAAGUACUCGUUGCAAAAUUAUAUUGUUAUGGCGCAACAGAGUAGUCUAAUGUUAUUUCAGGUUUGGUUCUUGUGAACAUUGACAUCGAUUCAUACCAAAUUUACACUCUCGGUGCAUAAUAGAACAACAUAAGUAGGUUUUGCUCUUUGUUCGAUUGAAUGAGAAAAAGUACUAGUUGCAAUCUUAUACUGUUAGGGCUCAACUGAGUUGUCUAACGUUGUUUCGGUUUUGGUUCUCGUGAACGUUGACAUCGAUUCNNNNNNNNNNNNNNNNNNNNNNNNNAUACUGUUAUGGCGCAACUGAGUAGUCUAAUGUUGUUCCAGUUUUGGUUCUUGUGAACGUUGACAUCGAUUCGUUCCAAAUUAAAACUCUCCGGUAAUAAUAGAACAAUAUAAUUAGGUUUUGCUCUUUGUUCGAUUGAAUGAGAAAAAAUACUAGUUGCAAAGUUAUACUGUUAGGGCUCAACUGAGUAGUCUAACGUUGUUCCGGUUUUAGU
This 6734-nucleotide long non-coding RNA is filed under the name Ananas comosus (pineapple). Its description in RNAcentral is "long non-coding RNA (ACOM_LNC029062)". Lineage: Eukaryota; Viridiplantae; Streptophyta; Magnoliopsida; Poales; Bromeliaceae. The record is from RNAcentral.